RNAcentral lists this long non-coding RNA (2677 nucleotides) under Eucalyptus grandis. RNAcentral's name for it is "long non-coding RNA (EGRA_LNC000729)". The record is from RNAcentral. Lineage: Eukaryota; Viridiplantae; Streptophyta; Magnoliopsida; Myrtales; Myrtaceae.
GACCCUUUCAUUUAUAUAUGCACAUGCGGAAGCAGUUAUAAUUCCCCAGACAAUAAAGCAAUGGGAUAGAAAAGCAGGCCAUACAUUUUUUCAUACUGAAAAUUCCCAACUACAACUUUUUUACAUGCAAACAAGGUCUGACAAGACAGGAUAGGAUUUCGGUCCUCAUCCGGGUCGUACUCGAGGUCCUCCUCCACGUACUCCUCUUCGGGUUCCUCAUCAAGGACCUCCUCAUCAGAUUCAUGCUCCUUAGGCUCCUCAUCCAGGUCCUGAAAUGGUUAUUCAAUAACCACUGAGACCACGUCUCAGCAAGUUCUACUCCCUAAGACCCGAUUAGUAAACUAAUAUACCUUAGGGCUGCCUAUGCACAACAUGAGUUAGAAGACUUACCUUAGCCUCAGAUUCCACCUGCAUAUUAGUACAGAUUAAAUAGGCACACAAGCAAGCACAUCACAGAUCGAAGCAUCGACCUAAUCGACUUAGUCGAUUUCACAUCAGGAAGACCACUCAUGAUCAUCUCCCUUCAAUCAUUCAAUUCAACACAUCAAACCAAGGCAAUGAAUCACAUCAAGACACACUCAGAUCGAAUCAUCGAUCAAUCGACCUAGUCGAAUCAUUUCUAGGUCAUUCAUCCAACACCAAGCAAUUCCUUAGAUUUAGUGGCUUUACGGUCCCACCCGACCCUCUCAAGAACUAGUGGCUUUUCGGUCCCACCCGACCCUCUCAAGAACUAGUGGCUUUGCGGUCCCACCCGACCCUCUCGAGAACUAGUGGCUUUUCGGUCCCACCCGACCCUCUCGAGAACUAGUGGCUUUUCGGUCCCACCCGACCCUCUCGAGAACUAGUGGCUUUACGGUCCCACCCGACCCUCUCAAGAACUAGUGGCUUUACGGUCCCACCCGACCCUCUCGAGAACUAGUGGCUUUACGGUCCCACCCGACCCUCUCAAGAUGUCAUACUAUGUCACCGAGCCACGUGCAUUCUCCAGGAAGACAUACCGAGUCUCCGAGCCACGUGCAUUCUCCAGGAAGACAUACCGAGUCUCCGAGCCACGUGCAUUCUCUAAGGCUACCUUUUCGCCAAGAGGACAUAUCAAAUCACCGAGCCACGUGUCUUUCCCAAGUGAUAUUCCAAUUCACUGGGCCACGUGCAUCCUCAAGGUGAUUUACCAACUCACUUUCGAUACUAACAACCGAUAUCCGACCAAGUCUCAAUCACAAGACCAAAAUUGCAUUAUUUAAUAACAUACUUAAAAAUGCACCAUUAAAUCAAUUCGACACGAAUUAAAGCUCAAAUAAAUAAACGGACUGCUCCACGACAAUCAGCACGAAAUUCCGGUCACCGGCCAUCCCGGUUGAAUUUCCGGAAAAUAAAUAAUUAAAUAAUUAAUUUCGAAAAUUAAUAAAUAAAUACAAUAAAUUCAAUUUAGCACAAUAUAAAGCUCAAUUAAAUAAACGGACUGCGCCACGAUCAUCAGCAUAAAAUCCCGGUCACUGGCCAUCCCAGUUGAAUUUCCGGGAAAUAAAUAAUUAAAUAAUUAAUUUCGGAAAUUAAUAUUUAAUUCCUAAAAAUACCACUUAGGCCCGAAUUGCUUAAUUAACACCCGAUAAGGGACGGGAAAAAAUCCCAAGAAGCAUCCAAUAAAUACUACAUGCAAUUCUCUAUCUAAUUACACUAAUUACAUCACUAAUAUACAAAGCAAUUAACUAAUAAUCCCUAAUCCAUUCUAAUCUAACAACCUAAUUACACUUAAUUAACACUAAUCAACCUUUAAGUAUAAUUAGCAAACUAAGAAGGCAUUAGUGAGUAAAACUCACUUGAUUUAAGAUUUGCUCGGAUCAAAUCGACGAGCACGCAACAAAGCUCGGCUCUCUUCAAAGCGGUUCUGUCAACCGGAAUUGGGAUUGCUCAAAAACGGGCCACGGGACCUUCAAACCCUUGCUGUAAAAUAGCUGCUGAUCAAGAGUUCUAGGGCUGUCACGGGGGGCUAAACUGACUUCGCGGGUUGCUCAAAGUGGUGCCGAGAUGGACUGAAAACACAGGCUGAGGACUCGGCUUCGUGCAAGACAGUGGACGGCUGCUGCUUCCGUGGAGAUGAGGCAGUCUUGCAGACGAAAGAGGAGAUGAUCGCGGUUGGCUUCUUCGGCGGAGUCGCUGGAGUUGAUGCAACAGUCAACAAACCGACUGAGGGGAGGUGAGAUGGCGGUCAAAGACGGGGCAGAGAGACGGACAGCUCGCGGCAAGGAGAUGGGCUGCUUCGCGGUUUCGUUGGCGUGGGGAAAAGAGAACGUGGGGCGGCUGUGUCGCGGAGAUGCAGACACGGUCAGCAACUUAAGAGAUCUCCAUGGAGUGUUGACCGAGUAGGAGUCCUACACGGACGUGUGGCAGCUUGGAGAUGAGGAGAAAAUUGGAGCUCCGGUGGAUGCUCCGUUCGGUGGAGGUGGCCGCAAGAGAGAAAAUGAAGGAGCUGCUUCGUCCGUUGAACCAGCGAAAAGUAGAGAAAAUAAAGAAAAGGGAAGACAGCUAGGGGAUGUCGGCUGAAUGAGGGGAUAAACAUUGACUCAAGUCAAUGAAAUAAAGCCAAAGAAAAUUAAUCCUGCAGAGGCUGUCGGCUGGAGAAAGAAAAACGCACGAGAGAGAAAAGGAAUUUGUGUGGCCGAGAGAGAGGGGAUGUGCG